UCCUCCCUCUUUCUUCGUGCUUAACACAUGCAAGUCGAACGGAAAGGCCCUGCUUUUGUGGGGUGCUCGAGUGGCGAACGGGUGAGUAACACGUGAGUAACCUGCCCUUGACUUUGGGAUAACUUCAGGAAACUGGGGCUAAUACCGGAUAGGAGCUCCUGCUGCAUGGUGGGGGUUGGAAAGUUUCGGCGGUUGGGGAUGGACUCGCGGCUUAUCAGCUUGUUGGUGGGGUAGUGGCUUACCAAGGCUUUGACGGGUAGCCGGCCUGAGAGGGUGACCGGCCACAGUGGGACUGAGAUACGGCCCAGACUCCUACGGGAGGCAGCAGUGGGGAAUAUUGCACAAUGGGCGGAAGCCUGAUGCAGCAACGCCGCGUGCGGGAUGACGGCCUUCGGGUUGUAAACCGCUUUCGCCUGUGACGAAGCGUGAGUGACGGUAAUGGGUAAAGAAGCACCGGCUAACUACGUG
This 468-nucleotide ribosomal RNA is filed under the name uncultured bacterium. RNAcentral's name for it is "partial 16S ribosomal RNA". It matches the Rfam family "Bacterial small subunit ribosomal RNA", at positions 36 to 507 of the family's 1533-position model. The record is from RNAcentral.